GUGCCCACCAGGUUAAAUUCUUGGCAAAAAGAUCAUAAACUGGUACUGGUAAUGUGUUAAAUUGACAAGCUAAUUUAACAUCCUUUGAUGAUGUAUGAUAUAAUGUAAAAUAGCAAGAGCAUGAAAAAUGUGAAACAUUACCAGUUAACCAUCCAUUGCAUUUACUGGAUUGGGGUUUUAGAAGUAACCAAUCAUUAUCUGUGAGGUUACACAUUCCUCUAAUCUUCUCUAGUUUAGGAAUCAUUAGUGUGUUUUCUAAUGCCAAUCCUUGUUGUUGUAUCCAUAAAUACCUGAUGGCACAGGUACUCCAGUUACUUAGACCUGUAGUGAAUUUCAUAGUUGCAACAGUUAAAUUAUCUAAAUAAUUAUACAUUGAUUUAUCUAAAUCCAAUCCUAUAACCUGUGAUUUAACAACAAUUGGAGCCCAAUUUGCAGUAGCAUGAAAACCAGUCCCUAUAUGCAUGCUGGCUGUGUUUAACUUAUUCUUGAGGGUCUCCAUAUCUAUAACUAUUUAGUAUACCCAUAGUGGUUCCAGCAACAUCUAACAGUGUGUCAUACCAUUCCCUUUUCUGCCUUUUGUUUGUUGUGUUACAUAAUGUUACAACAAGAGUAGUGACUUUUAAUGACACAUGUACAGCUUGUAAGAAGGCAGUUGUAUUAACACAUGUGGAUGGAAUAGGUGUGUGUGUGUCGUGGUUGACUUUUGGUUCUAUGAUAGUGGAUGAAGGACAGUAAUAAGGUGUAAAAAUAUAAGGUAGUGUAUAGUUCUCAAUUGUAGUGUCGUUCAUAAUGACUAACAUUUGUCCCCUUUUUCCAAUUAAUGAUACCAGUUAUAUAAUCAUUAUUAAAAGUAAUAAGGCCUGUCUAUUUACAUUGAUAUGCAACCUUAACUGUGCACAUUUCUGCGUUAUAAGAUCUAACAAUUUUCUGUGAACCUUCAAACAAACAUAAUGCAUCGGUUUCAUUAGCUGUAGACACAUUUCAUAUGGGUAACUGGUACUUAUAAGGGUUACUAUUUGUCCAAUUCAUCCAAAUGCGUUCAGUGAAUGAAUGAUUGCAUAUUACAUGCUGAUAGAAAGGUGGUGGAGAAAGGUUCUUGAGGGGGCGUGUGUGACGAAUGCUAGAUGAGGGGCUAAGGCCUAAUUGGGCUGGGGGUAUUGAAGAAUUGUUCAUCAUGUCAGAGUCUUUUUCCAGAAACAAACAGGUUUCAAACUUGCCAUUGACUUGUACUCAUAAUGGCAUUCAAGGAACAAUAUCAGAGGGAGUAUAACAACUCCAGAAAGCAUAGCGCACAACAUAAUCUUGGUCUCAGGUACGUAUGAUCCUCUCAAUCUACGAUAUGGUGUAAAAGCCAUGAUGCUUCGCUGAGGAGAAAUUCUUCUGUUUCCGAGCGAGGAGUGGUGUUGUCUUCCUUGGUUCCCCUCUUUGGACACAGCUUCACUCGGGAUGCGUGAAUCCAGAUGUCAUGGGAAUCUGUGAGGACAGCGGUUCUGGUUACAGCAAUCACAGUAGCAGGUGGUCCAAAAGGGUAUCCUCCUUUCUUGGUCCUGUUCAGCUGACGGAUAUACACCUUGUCACCGGGCUGGUUUGAAUGAGUAGGUUCCUGUGAAGGUAAGGGAAAACUGCGAAGAAACAUUGUCAUACAUACCAUUCGGUUUUAUCAACAAUUCACCUUGUGGGGAUAUAUUCUUAUCUCAGCUAAAAUAGCUGGUAGAUAUCUAGUCCAAUUUACCCAUGUUCCUGGGUAAAUUCUGGGCUUUUCCUUAAUAGUCCUAUUCAUCCUUUCAACUACCCCUGUAUUCUGUGGAUGAUAGGGUAUAUGAAACUGCCAGGUAACUUGCAAGAAUUUAGCAAGUUCCUGGGCAACCCCACUUGCAAAUACCGGGCCAUUAUCAGAGCCAAUCUGCAGAGGGCAGCAAUACCGGGGAAUAAUUUCAGUAACAAUAAUCUUCACUAGCAUCUUCCCUAGAUGUCACAAAGGCCUCAUGCCAUCUACUAAACUGAUUAACUAUGACCAGUAAGUAUUGCUGUUUCUUACCAAUUUUGGAUACAUGAAUAAAAUCAAUCUGUAAGUGUGUAAAAAGAGCAGUGUUCACACGAUCUUACAAAAGACUGUACAUGCUGCCUGAGAUUCCUAAUAUAAAAUGAAUUCAUGAGGAAUUGAAUGGUGCUUGCUAUGUGCCUGACUGAUGAAAAUAAAUCAGCUUGCUUCAAGUAUGCCUAUUCUUCAAGUAUGCCUAUUCUCCCCUCUUUAGAGAACAGAUCAUUCUGAUCUUUCUCUAAACCUUGUUUAAUCCAAAAGACAGAUUCUGGGUAUUUAAAAAAAGAAUCUCAUAACCACUGAAGCGCUGGGCUGUCAUGUGUUGUGUGGUGAGAUUUGUCAGCUGAGUGACCUGGUGACUGGCAUGAAGUAUUGUAGGAUGCCCUAGUGUGAUAGUAGUAGCAGUUUCAACAGCCAUUGCACAUGCUAUCAAUGCUCUGAGACACGCCGGCAUACCCUGUACCGGAGCUUGAACUACUUUGGAAAAGAAUGCUAUGGGACGCAUACCGCCUCCUUGCUCUUGUGCACAGACCGCGGCCAUGGUUUUACAAUUGUCCCAAGCAUACAAAUGAAAUGGUUUACAAUACACAGGUAGUCCUAAAGCCUGGGCUUGCACAAUAACAACUGUAAGGGCAAUAUAUGCAGCUAGCAUGUCUGGUGACCAGCAGACAUUUUCAGGGCUGUCAGAACGUACAGCCUCCCUUAGGAUUGAGUCAUAAUGGGAGCAUUCAGGGAUCCAUUGGUGGCAGUAAUUAAUCAUGCCGAGGAAGGUGAGCAACUCCUUCCGAGUAGUGGGUGUAGGAAUCCUCUGAAUGACCUCAAUACAUUUUGGACUCAAUUGUCUGGUGCCUAAAGCCAGAACAAAACCUAAGUAUUCAACCUUUGAUUUACACAAUUGCAUUUUGUGUUUAACAACCUUGUGACCCACAGUUGCUGACAGUAUCCACAGUGCUUGCCUCAUAGCUAGGGCUACAUAACAACAAAUCAUCAACAUUUUGCAAAAAGGACGGAACCAUGACCGGUGGUCCAUGUUUUUUAGAGUAUGUUGGAGUACCAACGAAUAAACAGCUGGGGAAUCCACAUAGCCUUGGGUAAGCGUGUCCAGGUAAACUGACAGCCUUCAAAAAGUAAAAACCAUAAGUAGCUGUGUCUCUUGAUCAAUAGGUAUAGAAAAAAAAAUGCAUUACUUAAAUCAAUGACAGUGAAGCAAGUGGCAUCAUGUGGAAUGGCUGUAAUGAGGGAUGUCACAUCAGGGACAAUGGGUGAAAUGGGCACAAUUAAACUAUUCAGGGCUCUAAAGUCCUGAACUAAGCGAUAUGCUGGCCAGUGGUGUUGGGAGUGGGUCUGGUGUUGUUCUUGCCUACCGGGCAUAUUUUGAGAAUUGUGGGGUUGGUGGGGUGUGUGGGGUUUCCUGGGGUGUGGACACUCAUUCCUCCAGUGGCCACAGUUGAAACAAGUGUUCCUGUCUAUUCCUCCUUGGUUACCCCUGCCCCUAUAACCCUGAUUUCCCUGUCUCCAUCCCCUUGCCCCUCUUUGACCACCCCUUCCGCGGGCUUUAUGUGCUCCAUCCCAUCCUCGCUCUCAGCCUGUGUAGCUGGACAUAUGUUGCAAUCCCUGAGCAUAAUAAGCAACCUUACUUUCCUAAACCUUUUCUUAAUUCAAAACAACCUGCAUUUUCCUUUUCUAUAACCUUGGUAAGAAAAUCUGAGCUAUCCAAAUUGGCCCAGUCUGAUCAAUUGUUUCACAAGCAAAGAAUACUGUGGCAACAUAUUACCAAGGCAUGACUGUAUUUUAAAGAGAUCUAUAUCAUCUCCAGACAUCAAACCUGCCUCAUCCUUCCAACACUUGUAAAAUUUCUUUACAAAAAUCAUAUUACCAAUCUCUUCCUUUGCAUCUUGCUUAUAUGCCAAAGCAGUGAAUAUAGACUGCUUAUUCUUCCAUAAUCCCAACAUUUCAGCUUCCACCUUGUUCCAGAUUUUAGCACAUCAUACUGAAGUACUAAGCUCAUAAUCACCAAUUCAUUUCAAACCAUAUAACUCAUACUCAGCAUCCCAUGUAAUAUUAGUCAUCUCAUAAAACAAUAUCUUUGUAGAAACACAUAAUGGGUACCCAGCAGAUAUGCCAAUACAGAAAUCAC
Pelobates cultripes (western spadefoot toad) is the source of this 4178-nucleotide non-coding RNA. Lineage: Eukaryota; Metazoa; Chordata; Amphibia; Anura; Pelobatidae. The record is from the annotation of a GenBank genome assembly.